CGACGGGUGAGUAACACGUAUCCAACCUGCCGUCUACUCUUGGACAGCCUUCUGAAAGGAAGAUUAAUACAAGAUGGCAUCAUGAGUCCGCAUGUUCACAUGAUUAAAGGUAUUCCGGUAGACGAUGGGGAUGCGUUCCAUUAGAUAGUAGGCGGGGUAACGGCCCACCUAGUCUUCGAUGGAUAGGGGUUCUGAGAGGACGGUCCCCCACAUUGGAACUGAGACACGGUCCAA
RNAcentral lists this ribosomal RNA (234 nucleotides) under uncultured bacterium. RNAcentral describes it as "partial 16S ribosomal RNA". It matches the Rfam family "Bacterial small subunit ribosomal RNA", at positions 102 to 334 of the family's 1533-position model. The record is from RNAcentral.